RNAcentral lists this transfer RNA (101 nucleotides) under Ceraceosorus guamensis. It matches the Rfam family "tRNA". From Rfam's summary of the family: Transfer RNA (tRNA) molecules are approximately 80 nucleotides in length. Their secondary structure includes four short double-helical elements and three loops (D, anti-codon, and T loops). Further hydrogen bonds mediate the characteristic L-shaped molecular structure. tRNAs have two regions of fundamental functional importance: the anti-codon, which is responsible for specific mRNA codon recognition, and the 3' end, to which the tRNAs corresponding amino acid is attached (by aminoacyl-tRNA synthetases). tRNAs cope with the degeneracy of the genetic code in two manners: having more than one tRNA (with a specific anti-codon) for a particular amino acid; and 'wobble' base-pairing, i.e. permitting non-standard base-pairing at the 3rd anti-codon position. Lineage: Eukaryota; Fungi; Basidiomycota; Exobasidiomycetes; Ceraceosorales; Ceraceosoraceae. The record is from Rfam by way of RNAcentral.
UCCCGGCUAGCUCAGUUGGUAGAGCGACAGACUCUUAAUUAGUCUGGAUGCAUGCGCAUCCAACAAUCUGUAGGUCCAGGGUUCGAGCCCCUGGUUGGGAG